RNAcentral lists this ribosomal RNA (424 nucleotides) under uncultured bacterium. RNAcentral describes it as "bacterial SSU rRNA". It matches the Rfam family "Bacterial small subunit ribosomal RNA", at positions 358 to 773 of the family's 1533-position model. The record is from RNAcentral.
GGAAUUUUGGGCAAUGGGCGAAAGCCUGACCCAGCAACGCCGCGUGAGGGAUGAAGGCCUUCGGGUCGUAAACCUCUGUCGGGAGGGACGAAAGGCGCGCGGGUGAACAAUCCGCGUACUUGACGGUACCUCCUCAGGAAGCGCCGGCUAACCCCGGCCCACCAGCCGCGGUAAUACGGAGGGCGCAAGCGUUGUUCGGAAUUACUGGGCGUAAAGCGCGUGUAGGCGGCCAGGUAAGUCGGAUGUGAAAGCCCGGGGCCCAACCCCGGAAUUGCACCCGAUACUGCCCGGCUGGAGUCCCGGAGAGGAUGGCGGAAUUUCCGGUGUAGAGGUGAAAUUCGUAGAUAUCGGAAGGAACACCAGUGGCGAAGGCGGCCAUCUGGACGGUGACUGACGCUGAGACGCGAAAGCGUGGGGAGCAAAC